GACGAACGCUGGCGGCGUGCUUAACACAUGCAAGUCGAACGGAAAGGCCCUGCUUUUGUGGGGUGCUCGAGUGGCGAACGGGUGAGUAACACGUGAGUAACCUGCCCUUGACUUUGGGAUAACUUCAGGAAACUGGGGCUAAUACCGGAUAGGAGCUCCUGCUGCAUGGUGGGGGUUGGAAAGUUUCGGCGGUUGGGGAUGGACUCGCGGCUUAUCAGCUUGUUGGUGGGUAGUGGCUACCAAGGCUUUGACGGGUAGCCGGCCUGAGAGGGUGACCGGCCACAUUGGGACUGAGAUACGGCCCAGACUCCUACGGGAGGCAGCAGUGGGGAAUAUUGCACAAUGGGCGGAAGCCUAAUGCAGCAACGCCGCGUGCGGGAUGACGGCCUUCGGGUUGUAAACCGCUUUCGCCUGUGACGAAGCGUGAGUGACGGUAAUGGGUAAAGAAGCACCGGCUAACUACGUG
Molecule: ribosomal RNA, 466 nt
Filed under: uncultured bacterium
Lineage: Bacteria
Description: partial 16S ribosomal RNA
Rfam family: Bacterial small subunit ribosomal RNA
Source: RNAcentral